CAUUACAUUUUCAAUUUUAUUUUUAUAAAUCAUUGACGAUAUGAUAUAGGCAUAUAGCCAAUUAGAUGGUCACUGUUAGCUAUCAAACAUAAUUUAUCUAAACUAAACAAAUAAAUUUUGUAUCUAUUUAUAUAAAUGGCAAAUUACUUUGUAUCAUAACAACAAACUAUGUGUUUUGUCCUGAAUAAAUCAUUAAAAUUGAAUUUUGCCUAUUAAUUAGAGGCUCGACCCAUAAAACCCAAAAACUAUUAGUUUCAGGUUAACUGUGCUUAGUUGCCAAGUUGUUUGUUUGGAAGGCAAAAACUUUCUAUUAGGGCCGUCAAGUUGUUUGUUUGGAAGACAAAAACUUUCUAUUAGGGGUAGACUUACUCUACUUAAGUUUGUUCUUGGUAGUUUGGGGCGUAUUACAUGUCAAUGUUAGGUGCUCUUGUUAUGAUUCUUAAAGCCUUAGAAGCUUUGAGAACUCUUUCGCAUUGGUGCUAGCAAACAAGACGGAGGUUUGGGUGUUGGAAGUUUGUGGUCCUUCAAUAGGGCUACGUAAUUUAAGUAGUGUUGUAGAUUUCUUCGUGACAUAAAUUCUUUAUGGGGGCGGUUGUGAAGGAUAUCCAUCAGCCUUUGUGGUAGGUGUCGGGAGUUAGACACGAAUGGUGCUCCCUCAAGUCCUUGGAAGCUAUUAUGAUGUCUAUUAGGCGGUUGUAGGAUAGAGGUUUAAACCUCAUAGAUUUCUGUCAUUUUCUAGUGGGAAACAGACAAAAGACUGAGUUUUAGAUGAAUCACUGGUUUGGUGAAUGAUUCUUAGCGAAGCAGUUUCCUCACAUCUUUGCUUAGACAUCUAUUCAGUUGCCAAUAUUGCUAACGGGUUGAGGGGUAUGUUGUUAUUUUCUUUGUUUCAUCAUGAGUCGAGGGGGAAGGAGAGGGGGAAGGUGUUGAGGUCAAGCAGUAGGCUACCUUACAUGACCUUCUACAAAGUUUCACAUUUUCUAGUCAACAUGACAUAUGAUAGGGUGAUCUUUGGAUUCUUCCGAUGAGUUUUCAUUAGAGUUUAAUUAGACUUGCAUGUUUUGUACUCUAAUGCAAGUUUGAUUAGGCGGAAAAAUUUUGUUCCUAUCAAGUUAAAUUUCUUGGCUUGGAGAAUUAGGCUUCAAAGUAUUUUCACGAGGAUAAACUUCUUGGACCUGAAUAUUGAUUUGGAUUAUGUGUUUUUCCUAACUUGCUUGACAGGAUUCGAAUCGAUACAACAUGUCUUGUUAGCAUGUUAUGAUAUUUUUCAUAUCUGACGACUCAUCGCCCAUUGGGAUAUGUGGAUGUUCCGAUGGAGGUCCAUGUUGAUGCUAUUAUACAUUGGUCGGAUUUGGUGUGAUUUUUUUGUUGUGCAACGAAAUGACUUUGAUGCGGUUGUGGUCAUGACUCUUUGAGUGAUAUAGAAUUUAUGUAAUGAUCAAGUUUUUGGAACGGACAAGUCCAAGAAGAUGUUCAUUUAUUACCAUGUAGUUGCCAGACGCUUUUUUUUUUUUUUUUUUUUUGGGAUUUAUAAUAAGAAGGAAAAUUAUAAGAUGAAGUAGGUUGCUUGAAUAGAAAACUUUUCUCUAACGUGUAUUUUAUAAUUUCUAGUUUUUAAUGUGAUUUAACGUUCAUAAAAAAAUGUUAAAAAGGAUGUAAUACAAUAAUACAAAACAUGAAAUAUGACAUGAACGGUUACAAGUAGACCUACCUCAAAUUGGAAUAUAUAUUCUCUCACCCACUAUUUAAUCGGGGCCAACAUUAUUAGUCCGAUAACAUGAGAUCCGACGAACCACAAUAACCAACAUGUCACCUUUUGGUCACUUACUUUUCAUUCUAAACUAGGGGCGUAACCUACAUAUUAUCUUUUGAUCAUUUACUUUUCAUUCUAUACUAGGGGUGUUUGUAGUGUAAUGUGUGGUUUAAAAUGACAACCGUAAACCACCCCACAUAGUUUAAAAAAAUACAAACCGUAAACUACAAACUAUAAACCACCUUGCAAAAAUUUGAAACCAUGUGAAAUGGUGCGACGCAUUCCUAAGCACCCUCCCGUCGAAUUUUCCCGCUCUAAACAUCAAGCUUUGCCCUUUCAAUCGAGGAUAUAAUCUGUUCCUACUUUUCAGCAGAAUGAAAUAAGGUGUUUUAAACCAUAUUGGAAUGAAGAGCAGAUAGAGAGAGCGAUUGAAAUCUCUACGUGGGUGUCUAUGGUAAAACAAAGGGGUAGAAAGGUAUCGAGUAGUAGAAGGAGGAGAUCGGUAGGGGUGGGGAAAAGGAUUACCUCAACAUAGUCAGAUAUGGAUUAUCGAGAGAAGAAGGGAAUAAGAGUCUUCAAAUUUUUGGUCCCAGCAAGCUUGAAGAGAAGAAGGUAAAUUAAUUGCUUCAAAUUAAUUUUUUUUCCAAUACUAUUUUAUCAUUGUUUUGUAGAUGAUUUAGGUUGGAUGUGUUUUUGUUAGAUGAAUGAGAAAUAUCAUUGGCUUCACACAUCUGAUGAUUUCAAGAAAGACUCAUCUUAUUCUUAUGUAUUAUCGAGUUUACUUUUCAUUACGAUUUUAGUGAGGGCUUAUCGAAAAAUUAGGGUUUUUAUAAUAUAUGCUUCUUUCCUCCCCAAUAGGGUGCUUUGACUAUUUUUCAAUUGGUGGAGUAACUGAGAAUGCCAAGGUUUGUAUUUUCAAUUUUUGCUUUUAUUUUCAUUUCUUGAGUGUGUAUUGCGAUAAAUCCUAAGGAAGAAAUUGGUUUAAAUCUUCACAUUAUAUUUCACAUAGAUAUAAUUCUUAUCAGUACCAUAUGAUCGAUGUUUUCUUAAUUGUUGGUCAUUUCUCCAGCUCCAACUCAUUGUGUUUGUGUUAACUUCAAAAUCAGGUACUAAUCUGCUCCUAUUGCAAAUUAUUAUGUUUUUUUACGAGCAAUGUGUUUGUGUUACUGGAUAGAAUCAGGAAUGGUUCAAAUUGACUGUUUUAUCGUUUAACAUCUCCAUUUUACCCUUAAUUGAUUUCUAAACUUAGUGCAAGAUAGUGUUUUGAGCUUAAGCACCAUCUGUGAGAGUUAAAUCUUCCUUCUCUGUUUACCAAAGAUUACCAUGAAGCUGAUAUGGGAUUUGGGUUCUGGAACUCAUCUAAGCAAGAACAAAGAACAAAACGAUUUUAUCUUUUUCCCAACCCCCACCUUAUAUUGACUAAAUAUUUCUCUAUCAGGUAUAUUUAUCAUUUCUAUUAUGUCCGUGUAUCAUUUUAUAUGAGAGUGGAUAUAUGUAAUAACCACCACCAACUAUGGAUCUCUUUAGUCUUUACAUAUGUGCUUAUUUCAACAUCGGGUCUGUACAGACAUCCCAUGGUUGCAAUUUGAACUUAUUGAAUAGUUUUACAAAAGAGACAGACAGAUUCCCAAUGAUGACCAAUUAGCAAUAUAUUGACGUGGGAUGCCAAGGGUAAAGAUGUAGACCUUAGCGAGCUCAUGAAAUUUUAUUGUUUUUAGUAUAUUUAUGGGGUUUUUGUGAUAUAAUUGUCCAUUUGAUGUAGGAUGGAAAGGGUAAUGUUGUAUACCUGAUGUAGUUUUUAUAACUUGUGAUAUAACUAAAAACACAAUUAUUCAUUUGAAGUAAGUUACAGUAGUUAAAUGGUUACUGUUUAUAAGUUUUGAUAGGUGCAUAAUUGGAAAGUUGAAGAUGGUUGACGAUGUUUUAGAGGCAGGGGUAUAAAUGGAAAAUUGAAGUUUAAAUUGGGAACAAGGGUAUAAUUGGAAAUCAUAUGGGGGACUAUGGUGUCUAACUUGGGGACAGGGGAAUAAUUAGAAAGUCGAAGGAAAAUGUCAAUUUGGAAAAUAGUCAAAGUGGAGUGAUAUAUGAUUCAAGAUGUUUGAUACAUGGACAUAAUCAAUUGAACCCUUGACAGGUUAUAUUUUAUUGGCGUUUCUAACA
This is a non-coding RNA of Lactuca sativa (garden lettuce), 3913 nucleotides long. Lineage: Eukaryota; Viridiplantae; Streptophyta; Magnoliopsida; Asterales; Asteraceae. The record is from RefSeq and is a predicted model, not a curated record.